GGAGACCCAGGCCCCAGUUCUACCCACCCAGCCGUGGCUACCCCCAAGAAGCCGUGAUCGGGAGCCCUGAGCUCCCCCAGAGCUGCUUCCCACGCCGUGGCCAACAACGAAGGCAGAAACCUGGGAACCUGCUAAGCAGGUCAGAACAGGUGGAUAAAAGUAACCACCCAGUGACAGCUGGGGAACCAGAAGAAGAGGUACAUAUCAAGGCCCUGAAAGACAGAGGCAGACUGCAAUUUCAAAGACAGGUGGAGGCCUAGAGCCAGCGCUAUGUGCAUACAAGCUCUCUACCAC
Long non-coding RNA from Phodopus roborovskii (desert hamster), 294 nucleotides. RefSeq lists it as uncharacterized. The transcript has 3 exons. Lineage: Eukaryota; Metazoa; Chordata; Mammalia; Rodentia; Cricetidae. The record is from RefSeq and is a predicted model, not a curated record.